This 534-nucleotide ribosomal RNA is filed under the name uncultured bacterium. RNAcentral's name for it is "bacterial SSU rRNA". It matches the Rfam family "Bacterial small subunit ribosomal RNA", at positions 777 to 1315 of the family's 1533-position model. The record is from RNAcentral.
AAUAGAUACCCGGGUAGUCCACGCAGUAAACGAUGAUUACUAGCUGUUUGCGAUACACAGUAAGCGGCACAGCGAAAGCGUUAAGUAAUCCACCUGGGGAGUACGCCGGCAACGGUGAAACUCAAAGGAAUUGACGGGGGCCCGCACAAGCGGAGGAACAUGUGGUUUAAUUCGAUGAUACGCGAGGAACCUUACCCGGGUUUGAACGUAGGGAGACAGGAGUGGAAACAUUCUAUUCAGCAAUGACUGCCUACGAGGUGCUGCAUGGUUGUCGUCAGCUCGUGCCGUGAGGUGUCGGCUUAAGUGCCAUAACGAGCGCAACCCUUAUUUCCAGUUACUAACAGGUGAAGCUGAGGACUCUGGAGAGACUGCCAGCGUAAGCUGUGAGGAAGGUGGGGAUGACGUCAAAUCAGCACGGCCCUUACAUCCGGGGCGACACACGUGUUACAAUGGUAAGGACAAAGGGCAGCUACCGGGCGACCGGAUGCGAAUCUCUAAACCUUAUCUCAGUUCGGAUCGGAGUCUGCAACUCGA